AUGAUGAUGCAGGGGAGAACGUCCAGGUGGUUGGCAAGAUGCCCAACCAAUGUGACUGCAAUGGCAAUGAUCACCAUGGUGCCGACACUGACGACAACACGCAUGGGUCAGGUGGUGAUAGCGACAAUGAUGCACACGACAAGGGCGGAGAUCCCGACAAUGACAUCGACAACGAGGCACAUGAUGAUGGCGAUAAUCAAGAUGAUGGUCAAGUACGUCGACAACGCGGAUGCCGACGACAUGGCAUCUACCACGCCCUGGACUCGGCCAUGUUCCUCAAGUGCAUCGAUGCCGACACAAUUUAUGUCGCCUCCUUCGCAAGCCACAACGGAUUUUUCUGGGCCACGUCGCUACAAGACCCUGAAGAGAGUCUACAAGUACGCAAAGCCAAUUACUCUCGAGUACUCCAGACUAUGUUUGCUUGGAGUUGAGGAGCCGUCGAACUUCGUAGAGGCGAGCAAAAUUCCUAGUUGGACGCGCGCCAUGGAUGAGGAGAGGAAGGCCAUCGAGAGCAAUGACACGUGGACUUUGGUAACCCGACCUUGCAACCAAAAGGCCAUAUGUUUGAAGUGGGUUUACAAGUUAAAGAAGGACACGAAGGGUGCCAUUGUGAAGUACAAGAAAAGACUCAUUGCAAAGGGCUACAUACAAUGUCAAGGAGUUGAGUAUGAGGAGGUGUUUGCACCGGUUGCUUGA
RNAcentral lists this ribosomal RNA (696 nucleotides) under Triticum aestivum (bread wheat). RNAcentral's name for it is "partial small subunit ribosomal RNA". Lineage: Eukaryota; Viridiplantae; Streptophyta; Magnoliopsida; Poales; Poaceae. The record is from RNAcentral.